Molecule: ribosomal RNA, 520 nt
Filed under: uncultured peat bog bacterium BP9
Lineage: Bacteria; Pseudomonadati; Pseudomonadota; Alphaproteobacteria; Rhodospirillales; Rhodospirillaceae
Description: bacterial SSU rRNA
Rfam family: Bacterial small subunit ribosomal RNA
Source: RNAcentral
GGUCCGAGAGAUCAGAUCCUUCAGUUCGGCUGGCUGGAACACAGGUGCUGCAUGGCUGUCGUCAGCUCGUGUCGUGAGAUGUUGGGUUAAGUCCCGCAACGAGCGCAACCCUCAUCUUUAGUUGCCCCCGGGUCAGGCCGGGCACUCUAAAGAAACCGCCGGUGACAAGCCGGAGGAAGGCGGGGAUGACGUCAAGUCCUCAUGGCCCUUACAGGUUGGGCUACACACGUACUACAAUGGUGGUGACAGAGGGCAGCGAACCCGCGAGGGGGAGCCAAUCCUCAAAAGCCAUCUCAGUUCGGAUUGCACUCUGCAACUCGGGUGCAUGAAGNUGGAAUCGCUAGUAAUCGCAGAUCAGCACGCUGCGGUGAAUACGUUCCCGGGCCUUGUACACACCGCCCGUCACGCCAUGGAAGUUGGUUUUACCUGAAGCCGGUGAGCUAACCGUAAGGAAGCAGCCGACCACSGUAAGGUUAAUGACUGGGGCGAAGUCCUAACAYGGUAGCCCGUMGGCGAACCU